UACAGAGGGUGCGAACGUUGCUCGGAAUUACUGGGCGUAAAGCGCGUGUAGGCGGGUCGGCAAGUCAGGCGUGAAAUCCCCAGGCUCAACCUGGGAACUGCGCUUGAAACUGCCGGUCUUGAGUAUCGGAGAGGAUCGCGGAAUUCCCGGUGUAGCGGUGAAAUGCGCAGAUAUCGGGAAGAACACCCGUGGCGAAGGCGGCUCUCUGGGACGGUACUGACGCUGAGACGCGAAAGCGUGGGGAGCGAACAGG
RNAcentral lists this ribosomal RNA (253 nucleotides) under uncultured bacterium. Its description in RNAcentral is "partial 16S ribosomal RNA". It matches the Rfam family "Bacterial small subunit ribosomal RNA", at positions 524 to 776 of the family's 1533-position model. The record is from RNAcentral.